Molecule: ribosomal RNA, 483 nt
Filed under: uncultured bacterium
Lineage: Bacteria
Description: bacterial SSU rRNA
Rfam family: Bacterial small subunit ribosomal RNA
Source: RNAcentral
AUUGAACGCUGGCGGCAUGCCUUACACAUGCAAGUCGAACGGCAGCACGGGAGCAAUCCUGGUGGCGAGUGGCGAACGGGUGAGUAAUAUAUCGGAACGUGCCCGGUCGUGGGGGAUAACGUAGCGAAAGCUACGCUAAUACCGCAUACGAUCUACGGAUGAAAGCGGGGGAUCGCAAGACCUCGCGCGAUUGGAGCGGCCGAUAUCAGAUUAGGUAGUUGGUGAGGUAAAGGCUCACCAAGCCGACGAUCUGUAGCUGGUCUGAGAGGACGACCAGCCACACUGGGACUGAGACACGGCCCAGACUCCUACGGGAGGCAGCAGUGGGGAAUUUUGGACAAUGGGCGCAAGCCUGAUCCAGCAAUGCCGCGUGCAGGAAGAAGCAUCUAUGGUGUGUAAACUGCUUUUGUACGGGAAGAAACACUCCUACGUGUAGGAGCUUGACGGUACCGUAAGAAUAAGGAUCGGCUAACUCCGUGCCAG